GACGAACGCUGGCGGCAUGCCUAACACAUGCAAGUCGAACGGAGUUGAGCGCUGAAUUGAAGGUAGCUUGCUACUGAAUAUUCUUGUUCAACUUAGUGGCGGACGGGCGAGUAACGCGUGAGCAACCUGCCCUUCAGUGGGGAAUAACGGCUGGAAACGGUCGCUAAUACCGCAUAACGUCGUGGGACCGCAUGAUUCUACGACCAAAGAUUUAUCGCUGAAGGAUGGGCUCGCGUCCGAUUAGGUAGUUGGUGAGGUAACGGCUCACCAAGCCGACGAUCGGUAGCCGAACUGAGAGGUUGAUCGGCCGCAUUGGGACUGAGACACGGCCCAG
This 334-nucleotide ribosomal RNA is filed under the name uncultured bacterium. RNAcentral describes it as "bacterial SSU rRNA". It matches the Rfam family "Bacterial small subunit ribosomal RNA", at positions 28 to 334 of the family's 1533-position model. The record is from RNAcentral.